This is a long non-coding RNA of Prunus avium (sweet cherry), 398 nucleotides long. RefSeq lists it as uncharacterized. Lineage: Eukaryota; Viridiplantae; Streptophyta; Magnoliopsida; Rosales; Rosaceae. The record is from RefSeq and is a predicted model, not a curated record.
CUUUUUUAAACCUAAAUCUCACCUUUUCUGCUGCCAAACUUCAUUUCCUUCGUCACCGUUCUUCUCCUCCCGUUCUCCUGGUUUUGCACAAGCAAUAGAAGAGUUGGACUUGGUGGUGAGGUGACAAUUCUUUCUUUUGUUUUUUCAAAGAGAAACACAACAAAUAAUAAAAUGAAAUCGUGGCCAAACUCGGGGAAAGAUGAAUGUGAAUCACUUGAUGAACCGGAAGUAGAGGGCGUGUUGUUUUCUAAUAACAACAACAAUGAAGAUAUAGAUGCUUGAAGAAGAUUGAGAGUUAGAUUAUUUAUGUUUUACUUUUGUGUUGUAUUAAUUAUUAUGUAUGGAUGAUGAACAUGAGUUAUUUGUUUUGUUUUAUGGAAUUAUGUGACAUUGAAGUA